UCCCUUAGUAGCGGCGAGCGAAGCGGGAGAAGCUCAAGUUUGAAAUCCGGGCUCUGCUCGGAGUUGUAAGCUGGAGGGCCGUUUGCCAAAGCCACCCGGGCUCAAUUUGCUUGGAACAGCAAGUCAUUGAGGGUGAGAACCCCGUCCAUGGCUCGGUGUUUGGCUUUCGAGUGCGGCGGCCCAACGAGUCGGGUUGUUUGGGAAUGCAGCUCAAAAUGGGUGGUAAAUUUCAUCUAAAGCUAAAUACUGGCAAGAGACCGAUAGCGAACAAGUAGAGUGAUCGAAAGAUGAAAAGCACUUUGAAAAGAGAGUGAAACAGUGCGUGAAAUUGUUGAAAGGGAAGCGCUUGGCAUCAGCCCGUGACCUUUGACCAUCACUCCGGCUUCUGUCGGAUGCAAUAGUCAAGAGUUGGGCCAGCGUCGGCUCUCUCCGCCCUAGAAAGGCCUUGGGGACGUGGCUCCUUCUGGAGUGUUUAUAACCCUUGGCGGCAUGGGGUGAGGGGGGGCCGAGGUCCGCGGCAUAGCCCAGGACGCUGGCGUAAUGGUCCCAAGCGACCCGUCUUGAAACACGGACCAAGGAGUCUAACAUCUAUGCGAGUGUUUGGGUGUCAAGCCCGGCCGCGCAAUGAAAGUGAAAGGGGCGGGAGCCUAGAGGCGCACCGUCGACCGGUCCUGAGGUUUACCAAAGGAUCCGAGUGAGAGCAUAGCUG
RNAcentral lists this ribosomal RNA (709 nucleotides) under uncultured Archaeorhizomycetes. RNAcentral describes it as "eukaryotic LSU rRNA". It matches the Rfam family "Eukaryotic large subunit ribosomal RNA", at positions 76 to 808 of the family's 3401-position model. The record is from RNAcentral. Lineage: Eukaryota; Fungi; Ascomycota; Archaeorhizomycetes.